GGACAGAUGGGAGAGCUGGUUUAAUCCGCGCCCCUGCUAAGGGCGUGUAGCCUCACGGUUACCGAGGGUUCGAAUCCCUCUCUGUCCGCCA
Molecule: transfer RNA, 91 nt
Filed under: Sulfurovum sp.
Lineage: Bacteria; Pseudomonadati; Campylobacterota; Epsilonproteobacteria; Campylobacterales; Sulfurovaceae
Description: tRNA-Ser
Rfam family: tRNA
About the family: Transfer RNA (tRNA) molecules are approximately 80 nucleotides in length. Their secondary structure includes four short double-helical elements and three loops (D, anti-codon, and T loops).
Source: RNAcentral